CCCUUAGAUGUUCUGGGCCGCACGCGCGCUACACUGAAGGGAUCAGCGUGUUUUCCCUUUCCGAGAGGAACGGGUAACCCGCUGAACCCCCUUCGUGGUAGGGAUCGGAGCUUGCAAUUGUUCUCCGUGAACCAGGAAUUCCCAGUAAGCGCAAGUCAUAAGCUUGCGUUGAUUACGUCCCUACCCUUUGUACACACCGCCCGUCGCUACUACCGAUUGAACGUUUUAGUGAGGUAUUUGGACUGGGCCUUGGGAGGUUUCGGCCUCCCUUGUUGCUCGGAAAGACUCCCAAACUUGAGCGUUUAGAGGAAGUAAAAGUCGUAACA
Molecule: ribosomal RNA, 326 nt
Filed under: uncultured eukaryote
Lineage: Eukaryota
Description: partial 18S ribosomal RNA
Rfam family: Eukaryotic small subunit ribosomal RNA
Source: RNAcentral